Molecule: ribosomal RNA, 550 nt
Filed under: uncultured bacterium
Lineage: Bacteria
Description: partial 16S ribosomal RNA
Rfam family: Bacterial small subunit ribosomal RNA
Source: RNAcentral
UGGGAAUUUUGGACAAUGGGCGCAAGCCUGAUCCAGCCAUGCCGCGUGCGGGAAGAAGGCCUUCGGGUUGUAAACCGCUUUUGUCAGGGAAGAAAUCUUCUGAGUUAAUACCUCGGGAGGAUGACGGUACCUGAAGAAUAAGCACCGGCUAACUACGUGCCAGCAGCCGCGGUAAUACGUAGGGUGCAAGCGUUAAUCGGAAUUACUGGGCGUAAAGCGUGCGCAGGCGGUUUUGUAAGACAGAGGUGAAAUCCCCGGGCUCAACCUGGGAACUGCCUUUGUGACUGCAAGGCUUGAGUGCGGCAGAGGGGGAUGGAAUUCCGCGUGUAGCAGUGAAAUGCGUAGAUAUGCGGAGGAAACACCGAUGGCGAAGGCAAUCCCCUGGGCCUGCACUGACGCUCAUGCACGAAAGCGUGGGGAGCAAACAGGAUUAGAUAGCCCUGGUAGUCCACGCCCUAAAACGAUGUCAACUGGUUGUUGGGAAGGUUCCUUCUCAGUAACGUAGCUAACGCGUGAAGUUGACCGCCUGGGGAGUACGGCCGCAAGGUUG